CCAGUUCGCUGCUUAUUUACCUGUUUGUUACUUAAAGUGCAUAUUUAUCAAGUUCUACCAAUACUGACUUGAUAUUAAGGAGAUUUCUUUCGCUUCUGGAAUUCAAUAAUGUAAAUAAAUGCCCUUUACGAGUGAACUAUGUUAUUUUUCCACUGUUUUUAUUGCUUGCAUGCUUCAAUGUCAAGGCGCUGCGGAACAUGCAAGACUUUGCAACCACAUGAAGCACAUAUCUAUACAAGACGAACACGAAUAUUGCUGUGUGGAAAAAUGUAAAUUCCCGUUGUCCUUCGAAAAGUUUGGUGGAUAGGCUGUGGUUAACUUAUGAUUGCCAACAUGUCUCUCAGGCAGUUGAGGUCUGGGACCGGACAGCUAAGAACCUUUAUGCUCCAUGAUGGAAGGUAUGAAGCUCGUCAAGAAACAUCCACAAGUGGAAUGUGAAGGAUUUGGACCUUUUUUUUGUCUCCAAAUAAAUUAUAGUAGCCUAGAAGCGUCAGAACUUCCGUUCCAAUUUUGCGCACUUUGUUCCACAAAUUAGAACUUUGAGGAAAUUAUUGAGAGGGAAUCAUCGAUUACUAUGAUAACACGAAUGGAUACAAUUGAAAUACAAUCUUGCUGUAGUAUUCUUUAAAGCAAAACACUGAACGAAGUGUUUUACAAGUAUAAUGAUUGAGGAACAAGUUUAUUUGUUUGUUGGGAGUAGAGUAACAAGCUGAUUGGUUAGCUGGGGGACAUGAGAGAAAUGGGUUUAAUGCAAGGGUCAGCAGUCAGAAGAAGAGGAAGAUGCAUUGAUCAUAGAUCAGAGUAGAAGGAAGCAUAAAAGAUCAGUAGCACUUGGUAUUACUGGAGAUUGACAGGAAGGGUCAUUGAUGGUCGUGGUGAGAAAGAGACAUUGAAGAGUAGAAUAAAGUAAACAUCAAUAAUUUACAUUAACCCUUCAGUUCCUCAGACUUUAAG
Molecule: long non-coding RNA, 954 nt
Filed under: Elaeis guineensis (African oil palm)
Lineage: Eukaryota; Viridiplantae; Streptophyta; Magnoliopsida; Arecales; Arecaceae
Description: long non-coding RNA (EGUI_LNC006803)
Source: RNAcentral